UAUGUGAUCGUCUCUCGCAUAUCAAUAAGCGGAGGAAAAGAAACUAACAAGGAUUCCCCUAGUAACGGCGAGUGAAGCGGGAAGAGCUCAAAUUUGAAAUCUUAAGGGGUUUCCCUUUACGAAUUGUAGUUUAAAGAAGUGUUUUCUGUUGAGGUUUUGGUAAAAGUUCUUUGGAAUAGGACAUCAUAGAGGGUGAGAAUCCCGUAUUUGACCUUUACUUUCAACUUUGUGAUACACUUUCAAAGAGUCGGAUUGUUUGGGAAUGCAGUCCAAAAUGGGUGGUAAAUUUCAUCUAAAGCUAAAUAUUGGCGAGAGACCGAUAGCGAACAAGUACCGUGAGGGAAAGAUGAAAAGAACUUUGAAAAGAGAGUUAAACAGUACGUGAAAUUGUCAAAAGGGAAGCGUUUGACACCAGUGUUGUUUUUCUGAAAAUCAAUUAAAGAACUGUUUAUGCUAAGCUUGUUUAGACUUUAUCAGCUAAUCUGUUUAGUUUUGAGCUUUUCUUUAAUGCACUUUUCAGUUAACAAGUCAACAUCAAUUUCUUUUGCUGUAAAAAAGCUUGAGGAAGGUGGCUUGAGAUUCGUCUUAAGUGUUUAUAGCCUCUUGCCUAUGCAGUCGGAGAGAUUGAGGUCUGCAGCGUAGAUCCUUCGGGGCUAAAUGCAUUUGUGCUAAGUUAUAGCAUUUUAUAGACAACUUGUUGACUAUGAUUUGUCUUGUAGCUUACUCGCUUAUGUUAUUUUACCUACGCUUAGGAUGUUGAGUAGCGACAUACGCAC
Molecule: ribosomal RNA, 776 nt
Filed under: uncultured Neocallimastigales
Lineage: Eukaryota; Fungi; Neocallimastigomycota; Neocallimastigomycetes; Neocallimastigales
Description: partial large subunit ribosomal RNA
Rfam family: Eukaryotic large subunit ribosomal RNA
Source: RNAcentral